UACGUAGGGUGCAAGCGUUAAUCGGAAUUACUGGGCGUAAAGCGUGCGCAGGCGGUUCUAUAAGACAGAUGUGAAAUCCCCGGGCUCAACCUGGGAACUGCAUUUGUGACUGUAGAGCUGAGUACGGCAGAGGGGGAUGGAAUUCCGCGUGUAGCAGUGAAAUGCGUAGAUAUGCGGAGGAACACCGAUGGCGAAGGCAAUCCCCUGGGCCUGUACUGACGCUCAUGCACGAAAGCGUGGGGAGCAAACAGG
This 252-nucleotide ribosomal RNA is filed under the name uncultured bacterium. RNAcentral's name for it is "partial 16S ribosomal RNA". It matches the Rfam family "Bacterial small subunit ribosomal RNA", at positions 524 to 776 of the family's 1533-position model. The record is from RNAcentral.